GAGCACAUAGCUCAGUAGGUAGAGCGUUUCACUUUUAAUGAAAAUCGCGAGAGUUCAAAUCUCUCUGUGCUCA
Molecule: transfer RNA, 73 nt
Filed under: Pseudomonadota bacterium
Lineage: Bacteria; Pseudomonadati; Pseudomonadota
Description: Proteobacteria bacterium (activated sludge metagenome) tRNA-Lys
Rfam family: tRNA
About the family: Transfer RNA (tRNA) molecules are approximately 80 nucleotides in length. Their secondary structure includes four short double-helical elements and three loops (D, anti-codon, and T loops).
Source: RNAcentral